CUACGUACAGCGUGUUGGGUCGGUAAUUUCAAUCGACAUCACUAUAAAACAAAACUGUUCUGUAAAUGUGCAUUCUGUAAGCGAUCAUUUGAAUAAAACGACUGAAAGGCAAUAGGUAUAAUUUACACGUAGUCCCCUGAACUCGCUAGAUAGAGCCCACAGGGGGAGAGAGACCGAAAGCGAUCGAGCAGGAAAUGAUCAGCAGGAGGAAGUAGCAUGCUUGAAACAAAAAAUCAAUGAGAUGAUUCCAAAGAAUUGACGCUAGGUAAGUAGGUAACCCCUUAUUGUUUCCUCUCCAUAUCAGUCAUGCUGUUUCAAAAGUCGAGUAGUUUUAAUUUUAGACAUAUUUUUCCAUCCAUCCAGUUUCUUCGCCGCUUAUCCUCACCAGGGUUGCGGGGAGUGCUGGAGCCUAUCCCAGCUGUCAAUGGGCAGUAGGCAGGGUGCACCCUGAACUGAUUGCCAGCCAAUCGCAGGGCACAUCGAGACAAACAGCCGCACUCACAAUCACCCCUAGGGGCGAUUUAGAGUGUCCAAUUAAUGUUGCAUAUUUUUGGGAUGUGGGAGGAAACCGGAGAGCCCGGAGAAAACCCAUCCAGGCACGGGGAGAAUAUGCAAACUCCACACAGGCGGGUCCGGGAUUGAACUCGGGACCUCUGAACUGUGAGGCCAACGCUUUACCAGCUGAGCUGUGCCGCCCAGACAUAUGUUUCAGUGGAUGAAUUUCAUUUGUACUAAUACGAAAGUUAAGAUAAGAUAUCAUGGUGUUGACAGUUCUAUUAUGUAAUGGAAAACAUAUAAAUUGCAAUUGUAAGACGAGAUUCCAUGUAAAGUUAAAAACCAUUUACCAAAUUGAAGGUUGGCUAUUAAUAAAGAACAUAUACUGUAUAAAGUUAACACAAUCCAAGCUAUAACAACUAGAUUUCAUUUCACAACAUGGUUUUGCAAUCUCCCAUUUGUGUCAUGAGAGCCAACUAAUCUGUCAGAAAUGUUCAUUCCAAAAAACCCCAGAGUGUUACGAGAACAGGGUAAAAACAUGUACAGUCAGUACAAAACUACAGUAAAUAUAAUAAAGAGGGUGGUUAAGGUCAAAUCAAAGUAAAUUCCAUGGUCUGGAAAUUGGUUCUGGAAGUGUGAAGGAAGUUUUUCUGUGCAGAACGUGGUUUCCUGGGUUUUCCGGGGUGAUGAGUGAAUGAGAUCCUGGCUCAGCUGUUCUGUGCUUAUUUAUUGCCUAGUUACCGAUGCAAUCAGUGUCAGAAUGGCCGACAAUCAUACAUUCAAAAUGCUACAUCGUGACCCAGUCAAAGUUAUGACUUAUCACAUUUGCCUGUUCCUGUGCCUGUGGGCGUUGGGGAUUCUGCUACAAAGUCAACAUGGUGUGAAUUUCUCCAGUUCCCCUGUGACCAGUGUGUUAAGACAUCAGUGCUGGGAUAGGGUCCAGCAUUCCCGCAAUCCUUGUGAGGAUAAGAGUCUUGGAAAAUGGAUGGAUGGAUGGAUGGAUGGAUGGAUGAAAUCACAGCAUUUCCUGACUUGCUAUCUGUAGAUUACGGAACAUUGCAUCACUUUAGCCCAAGACGACGUCACUAUCUUCAAAGCCUGACCCUCUUGAAUGUGAAAGGAACUGCUCUGCAUCCUUGUCAAGAACCUCCGGUACGGGGGCGGAGGCAAAUGCAGGACUUCGAGGCAGAGGCAUAAUGUUCAACGUAGUUUAUGCCGGAAACUAGGUCAGACACGGUGUAGCAGUCCGACAAGGCAGAGGCACAGAAAUGUGAGGCUAGGCGGGAUCCAAGAGACAUGCAGCAAGGGUUCGAUGACUCUGAAGCAAACUAACUAACUCAACCGUUCAGGAUUAAACAAAAGGGCACAGAAUCAGUGUGACUUGGGUUACUCUAACUUACGCAUAGAAGCGGAGAGUCCCACAGGCAGUGAAUGCAACUCACUAACACACAGCAACAAACUGGCAAACACCUGUGACAAAAACUGCAACUUAAAUGCCUGUCUAAUUAGAGUCUGCAUAUGAAACAGCUGUGACCGGUGACAGGUUUCACCGCCCAGAACAGUGGCGUGGCCACGCCCCUCUUGGCGGUGACCAAGCCUUGCUCAUGACAAUCCUGGCUUCCAAAUGAUCUUGUGGUUCAAUGUUUUGCACUUGGGUCCUUAAACACCCUCACCACAUAGGACAGUGGUCCCUAUUCUUACGUGUGCCGCAAUUUCUGGGUUUUUACGGGGAGUGUGAAGAACUAUAUUUAUAAUAUGAUACUGCAUGUACUCUACCUACGGCUAAAAAGAGAAGCGCGCAGUAUCUGUCACUGAAAUAAACGAGUGCAGUCAAGGAAUGCCAAGAGCCUCUCAAAUAUGCACAACCUUUCCUAUAUUUAUCACCCGUUUCCUCUCUUUGAAUUAUUAUACAGUAAUAUAGCUGCAGCGGCCAGGGCAGUAUCCAUCUCCCUUGACAACUGUGACAUGCUGUUUGUGCUUCCAUAACAACAACAAAAAAAUGCGGUCGUAUUUAUGAUGCUUCAAAACAUUGCAUCAAAUAAGAAUGACAGGGGUAGCAGUUUUUCCACUGCCGCGAGUUGCUACGUGGUCAAAGGUCACUUGUUAGGUUUGUGGGUGUAAGUCGCCAACUCUAAUUUGUUCGACGUUGUUCAAUUUAGUCACGUUUGUUUGGAAUGGAACAAUUCACUUUCUUUGUAAUGGGAAUAAUGGGAAUAGUUGAUGAAGCGAACAUUUUGCACGUCAACUCGCAUCACGGUAUAAAUUGUUUCCAUUUGGAUUAAAAUCGUGCAGUUGAGUGUUUAGUACCGGUAGACGGCGGGCUGUUUUAUUCCAGUGUUUCUCCUUCCCUCCUGCUUCUGGCCUGCUGUCAGUUGGCUGCAAGCAGGCAGUGAUGCAGCAAAUCAUUAACACGCUUUGACACGCCGCUUUGGGCGAAGGCUCGCUCGCCAAGCUUUGACUGACAAGCGGCGCGUCGGGGUCUCAAAUGGCGAUGCUCUCGUCUUUUUUCUGCUCUUGUACCGCACGCUUUCGCCGCUUUGUUUUUGCUCGGGUUUGGCCUCUGCUCCUGUUUUGCUACAGAAGGACGCCGGCGAAGAACAUACUGAGAGCUGUGAGCCCUCCUCGACAAACAAACCCACGCUCCCUGUGGCCCUCCCCGAUGCCUCCUGUUUCCCUUUUAUGCCCUAUCCUUCCCUUUGCAGAGAGCAGAGCGUUUCCCAGAAUUUGUGCAGAUGCGAGUGAGCCGUUGCCCAAGCUGCGAAACGCAAGCGCCGCUGACUCCUUUACGCCCCAACGGCACCCCACGAGCUCCCGCGCAACAUCCUCCACAAUUAGGGCUGUGAUAGAAUCCACCUUAAUGAGACGACUGCAAUGCUGCUGUUACGGGAAAAAUACGUGACCCAUCAGAAUUUGUGACCCCCGGAGGCGACGUCCGUUUGAGAGUUUGACAGCAAAAGAGAAGAAGAAUCCUGUGAGUGUGUACUGUUCAAGUCAUGAGAUGAAAUCAAUACGCCGUAAUGACUUCAGGUUGUUCGAAGUCUUGAAGUGGAAGUUUGGACGACACGAUGUCGGUACAGGAUCCCCGUGGAGGCCCCAUGGUGAGAAUGGAUGACUGCGUGCAUUGGCUGUGGCCCGGGACAGAAAGCCGAAUCCAACACUAUCAGAACCAUCAGAACCUUAGCGGGCAUCCAGAAAGGUCGAUACGCUCAAAAGAAUUAAUGGAGGAGAACCAUCUACUGAUACAUCAAUGUGACACACUUCAAGUUUUCUGAGUCACUGCCAAGUGGUGAUAUUGUGAUGUUUCUCCUCUCAUCCGAGCAGGCUUCAUCAAUACCUGCAUCAGGUCUUAGUUAGGCCGCACUAGCCAGUGUUUGUGUGGAUACCCAUUCAAGUAAAACUCCCUUCCAGUCACACCAGGACAAUUUCUUCUUUGGAUUCUGGUAGAAUGAUUUGGGUGAUGGACUUUAAUGACAUCCACAUGAGAUGUUAACCCUGAUAUCAUCUUGGUAAUGUUUUCCUCCGCCUCUUUUCUUCAGAGGAUGCAGACUCGAAUAUUUAGCUUGUGUGUCUUCCCCUUGCUUGUGUGAGGUUUCUUCGGAUUCUCCGAUUUCCUCCAACAUUCAAAAACAUGCAUGUUAGGUUCACUGUCACUGACUCUAAAUAAGGGGUGCUCAAUACGUCGAUCGCGAUUGACCGAUCACGAGGCAGUCUUGGUCAAUCACAGGACGGCGUAACCCAAAAAAAAAAAAAAGACGUCAGCCAAUGUUCCCUCUAAACUGCGCACAUGCGCAAUUGUGCACCGCUAAUGCAGUCUCCUCGCAUAUAUUCUGCGUUGCGUGCAAAAAAAAAAAAAAAAAAAAAAUCAGAUGCAAAUUGAAAGUAUAAAAUACAGCUAUUCAAUUUGUGGCAUUUUGCAAUAUGAUUCAAUGAGUAAAAAGUCUGGCCACCCCUGCUAUCCAUAGUCCUUAGCUCUGAGCGUUUGUUUGUCUGUAUUAUGUAGCCUGUGACUGGACGGGGGACCAGUUCGGGGUGUGCCCAACCUCUGGCUCAAAACUAUGAUAUGCUCCAGCUCACCAAUGACCCUAAUAAGGAUUCAAGCUGUAAAAAGUUGACACUAUCCAAGGUGCUUAAGGUUUCUAACCAU
This is a long non-coding RNA of Syngnathoides biaculeatus (alligator pipefish), 4639 nucleotides long. RefSeq lists it as uncharacterized. Lineage: Eukaryota; Metazoa; Chordata; Actinopteri; Syngnathiformes; Syngnathidae. The record is from RefSeq and is a predicted model, not a curated record. The transcript has 8 exons.